This 3549-nucleotide ribosomal RNA is filed under the name Triticum aestivum (bread wheat). Its description in RNAcentral is "partial small subunit ribosomal RNA". The record is from RNAcentral. Lineage: Eukaryota; Viridiplantae; Streptophyta; Magnoliopsida; Poales; Poaceae.
ACUUCCACACAUCACACACACCUCCGCUGGCCGUCUGCCCGACGACGAAUGGCACCGUGCCACGGCCUGCUGCGCGGCGGGGCCCAGGCGGCCAGAUAGCCCAAUUCGUUUGGCCCUCCUCCUCCGCCCCGCCUUGCCCGCGCGCGGAGCACGAGACGCGUUGACCCCCGGGCACCGCCACCGCCACUCUUCAGCCCCACUCCACUCUCCGCCACUUUCCAGCCCGCCGCCCCAAGCUCCCCCAGCCCACCAGUCGCCCCCGCCUCUUCCUCUUCCUGUUCCUGUUCCCCAUGGCGUGCUCGGCGGCGGCGGGCGUCGAGGCGACGGCCCUCCUGUCCCCCCGCUGCCCCGCCCCUUCCCCGCCCGACGGCCGCUCCCGCCGCCGCCUCGCCCUCGCCUCCCGGACGCGCCACCGCAGCCUCAGGGCGGCCGCGCAGCGUCCUCACAAGAGCACAACCGGCGCCGACCCCCUUAACAACAGGGCAAAUCCAAGGAGCGACGAGGCAGCGGUUUCCGCCGAAAAAGAACGGCAAAGGAAAUACAACGAUGGAGAUGGCAUAUCAAACCUUCAGCUGGAAGAUUUGGUAGGACUGAUACAGAACACCGAGAAGAGUAGGGGAUUCCUUCUUUUUGAAUAUCCGUACAGUUUCCUAAAAUGCAUAGAGUUGCAAUGGAACACGCUGAUAAAAUUCUUAAAGAAAAGGAAGCCUUGCAGAGGAAGAUAAACAUUUUAGAGACGAGGUUGUCAGAAACAAAUGCACAACAUAAGCUUUCAAGUGAAGGGAAUGUCAGUGACUCUCCACUAUUAUUGGAGUUUGAUGUUCUAAAGGAAGAUAAUAUUCUACUGAAGGAGGACAUAGAAUUUUUCAAAACAAAGCUUAUAGAGAUUGCCGAGACAGAGGAGGGCAUAUUCAAAUUGGAGAAAGAGCGUGCUCUUUUAGAUGCUUCCCUUAGGGAGCUGGAGUCCAGAUUUAUAGCUGCCCAAGCAAAUAUGAUGAAACUUGGUCCUAGGGAUGCCUGGUGGGAGAAAGUAGAAAAAUUGGAAGACUUGCUUGAGACCACAGCAAACCAAGUAGAGCAUGCUGCUGUGAUAUUGGACCACAAUCAUGAUCUGCAGGAUAGGCUUGACAAUUUAGAGGCAUCACUGCAAGCAGCAAAUAUUUCAAAGUUCUCUUGUUCUCUUGUUGAUCUUUUGCAGCAAAAGGUCAAAUUGGUAGAAGACCGCUUCCAAGCAUGUAACAGCGAAAUGCAUUCUCAGAUUGAACUGUACGAGCAUUCAAUAGUGGAAUUUCAUGAUACUCUUAGCAAACUAAUAGAGGAAAGUGAGAAAAGAUCACUGGAGAAUUUUACAGGAAACAUGCCUUCAGAAUUAUGGAGCAAAAUUUCCCUUCUAAUUGAUGGAUGGUUACUGGAGAAGAAAAUAGCUUACAAUGACGCAAGUAUGUUACGAGAAAUGGUUCGGAAAAGGGACAGUCGCCUUCGGGAAGCGUACUUGUCAUACAGAGGUACCGAAAACAGGGAUGUUAUGGACAGUUUUCUUAAGAUGGCAUUACCAGGAACCAGUUCUGGUUUGCACAUCGCUCACAUAGCAGCAGAGAUGGCUCCUGUCGCAAAGGUUGGUGGCCUGGCAGAUGUGAUAUCUGGUCUUGGGAAGGCACUUCAGAAAAAAGGGCAUCUAGUAGAGAUUAUUCUUCCCAAAUACGACUGCAUGCAGGUUGACCAAGUUAGCAAUCUAAAGGUUUUAGAUGUUCUUGUGCAGUCCUACUUUGAAGGAAAUAUGUUCAACAACAAAAUCUGGACCGGGACUGUUGAAGGCCUACCCGUGUACUUUAUUGAGCCACAGCAUCCAGCGAUGUUCUUUUCGAGGGCUCAGUACUAUGGAGAGCAUGAUGACUUCAAACGUUUUACAUACUUCAGCCGUGCGGCACUAGAAUUACUUUACCAAUCUGGGAAGAAAGUUGAUAUAAUCCACUGCCAUGACUGGCAAACUGCAUUUGUUGCACCUCUUUAUUGGGAUGUAUAUGCAAAUCUAGGCUUCAACUCAGCUAGAAUUUGCUUCACCUGUCAUAAUUUUGAAUAUCAAGGAACUGCUCCAGCUCGUGAUUUAGCAUGGUGUGGCCUUGAUGUUGAGCACCUAGACAGACCAGACAGGAUGCGGGACAAUUCACAUGGAAGAAUAAAUGCUGUUAAGGGCGCAAUUGUGUAUUCAAACAUCGUAACCACUGUCUCGCCAACAUAUGCACUAGAGGUUCGCUCAGAGGGUGGGCGUGGACUCCAAGAUACACUUAAAGUACAUUCCAGGAAAUUUCUUGGGAUACUUAAUGGAAUCGACACAGAUACAUGGAACCCUUCCACAGAUAGGUAUCUCAAGGUCCAGUACAAUGCUAAGGAUCUCCAGGGAAAGGCAGCCAACAAAGCAGCCCUCAGAGAGCAACUAAACCUGGCUUCUGCAUAUCCUUCACAACCACUGGUUGGUUGCAUUACCAGGCUAGUUGCUCAGAAGGGUGUACAUCUUAUCAGGCAUGCAAUAUACAAAACAGCUGAAUUAGGAGGACAAUUUGUCCUUCUGGGUUCAAGUCCAGUACCAGAAAUUCAGAGAGAGUUUGAAGGUAUUGCAGACCAUUUUCAGAAUAACAACAAUAUCCGGCUGAUUUUGAAGUAUGAUGAUGCGCUAUCUCAUUGCAUAUAUGCUGCGUCUGACAUGUUCAUUGUCCCCUCUAUAUUUGAGCCAUGUGGCCUCACUCAGAUGAUAGCCAUGAGAUAUGGUUCUGUGCCGAUUGUUCGGAAAACUGGUGGGCUGAACGACAGUGUCUUUGACUUCGACGACGAAACAAUACCCAUGGAGGUGCGGAACGGCUUUACAUUUGUCAAGGCCGACGAGCAGGGCCUAAGCAGCGCGAUGGAAAGGGCGUUCAACUGCUACACGAGGAAGCCCGAGGUGUGGAAACAGCUUGUGCAGAAAGACAUGACGAUCGAUUUCAGCUGGGACACCUCGGCUUCGCAAUAUGAAGACAUCUACCAGAAGGCGGUGGCUCGAGCGAGGGCGGUGGCGUGAGCACACACACACGCUAGUUGGUUCCCUGAUGCCUCUCUCCCGGGCCCUGCCCUCAUGAUGCAAACGGCACUAGACGAAAUCGGGGAAUCAUGAAAACAGAGUCAUAUAGGAAGCUCCAUGCUCUCAGCACGCAUCUCCGGUAAGGGCGCGACGGUGUGUCGUUGGUUAUAUCGCUGUUUCUUGAAGGAAGGCAGAACGCGAGCGAAAAAUAGAGUAGCUACUGUGAACUGUCAAGAUCUUAGUACGUGCACUGUUGUUGGCAUAAUAUUGGUGUAAAUUGUAGUGGGCUGUAUAUUUUCUUGAGGGGUUGCAACGGAGCUGUGUAUGUGCAGUGCAGGCUGCAGAGUCGUAUGUAUUAUGCAGAAAUCUUUAUGGUCCGUGAGAUGGGAGGAGCGAGAAUUUCAGACACCUGGACCGUAAGCAUCUGUUAGAAAAUACGUUGACUUUCUUUUCUUUGCAAAAAGAUAUUAAAAAAAUCCUUGAAAACGUUACAG